GCAUAUCAAUAAGCGGAGGAAAAGAAAAUAACAAUGAUUCCCCUAGUAACUGCGAGUGAAGAGGGACAAGCUCAAAUUUUAAAUCUAUCGGGUUUUACCUGAUCGAGUUGUAAUUUGAAGAUGGCGUUUUCUGUGUUUCUGAUCAGUCCAAGUCCUUUGGGAUAAGGCAUCAUGGAGGGUGAGAAUCCCGUUCGGUUGAUCAGAUUCGCUUUACGAUACGUUAUCAAAGAGUCAAGUUGUUUGGGAUUGCAGCUUAAAAUGGGAGGUAAAUUUCUCCUAAGGCUAAAUAACGGCGAGAGACCGAUAGCGUACAAGUACCGUGAGGGAAAGAUGAAAAGAACUUUGAAAAGAGAGUUAAACAGUACGUGAAAUUGUUGAAAGGGAAACGAUUGAAGCCAGUCGUACCUUCGGGUAAUCAGCCUUUUGGGUGUGAUUUUGUGGAGCGUGAAGAGUUAAACGCCUUCAUGCUUGCAUAUUCGUGCACUUUGGGUGUACUUGCCCGUAUGGUUGGUUAACAUCAAUUUUGGUGGUCAUAAAAUGACUGGAGGAAUGUAGCUUCGAUCUCGUAUUGAAGUAUUAUAGCCUUCGGUAGAUGUGAUGAUCGAGAUUGAGGAUUGCAACGGGUACCCUUCGGGGCUACCUGUCUGAUCUCUGAUCGUUGCUCUGGUACCGAAAACUUGCUUACGGUUAUCAAAGUCGAUGGUCAAUAGGUUAGAACGGGUUAAAUUCGUUAAGGAUGUUGACGUAAUGGCUUUAAACGAC
This 762-nucleotide ribosomal RNA is filed under the name Rhizophagus cf. intraradices HG-2010. RNAcentral's name for it is "eukaryotic LSU rRNA". It matches the Rfam family "Eukaryotic large subunit ribosomal RNA", at positions 38 to 648 of the family's 3401-position model. The record is from RNAcentral. Lineage: Eukaryota; Fungi; Glomeromycota; Glomeromycetes; Glomerales; Glomeraceae.